UAUACUUUAAUUCUAGAACAUACCACACAGUCUAAGAAUUUCUUGCAGCUCUUUAAAUCAAGAUCUGCCAUUUCUGCAAGUAUUCUAAUAUUUGGAAAACUAAUGUGGCCUAGUACCCUGUGCAAAUGAUGAACACAAUUAUCAUGCAUUGGGAAUUUUUCAUUUUUAGAAACAUUUGAUGCAUUUUCUUUUUUCACUUUGUCCAACAUAAAAUAUAAGUUCUCGAGCUCUCUGUGCAUACUUCACGAUUCAAAUACACUUUACACCUUUGUGCAUUUAACUCAAUUUUGUAACCAUCUUGAAUUAACUUGUAGUUCUGGUACACAUGAAACAUUAUCCACAUUUUCCCCUAAACAAGGAAUGUACACUUUUUCCUUCUCUUUUUUUCUUUUAUUGUGGCAUUUAUGUGGCAUUUAUGCAGUCCAUCUUGGGUAACUGAAUAAUCUUGAAAGCCAACAGCUCUUACUUUUUAACAGUUCCUGACUGAAAGUCAAAGAAAAUUUUGCUUUAAUUGAAGAAUUUUAGUCUGCAGUAGCAAUAUUUCAUAAAGCCUUAAUCACAAGAUGCUCUUUAAUUUUACAGCUAUACCCUUGCUUGUGAGAUUGAAGCAGCUAUUAAAAGAACUACCACAUCUCAAACUCCCGGAAGAGCAUGGUGAAACGGCUGAGCUUGUGAGCAUGACUCAAUGGGUGGUGAUUUUGGAGCAACUGGCAUGCUAGUUAAAUUGGACUGCAUUAUAAGUAGCCACAAUCUUUCUUUUUUAAAAAUAGAUUUUUAUUAGAGUUUUAGAUAUAAUAUACAGCGAUAGAGUGAGGACAUAUGAUUUUAUAGAAAAGAAUGAUAGAAAGAAUAGGAAAGAGAGAGAGAGAGAGAAAUUAGAAUAAAAAUAUUUUGACUUCCGUUCUUUUCUUCGGGUACAUGUUAGGUCUCCUUGUUAUAAUCCAUCUUUCCCUUUUAGUAAGUCUGGAAAUUUAGUUCAAAAUCCUAAACUUGGUAGGACUUUUUAAUAUACUUCUCAAAUUGUGCCCAGUCAGUCAUUUUUCAACCUUUAACCUUAUUCUUCUUUAGCAAAAAUGUUAAUUUGUCCUUAUCCUUAAUUUCCAUGACUUUAUUUAGCCAUGACUUUUUGGUUGAUAAGCUGUCUGUUUUCCAUUCUUUUGCGAAAACCAUUCUGGCUGCUGUCGUAAGUAAAUAAGUGGUUUUUCUUUGUUUGCAUCUAUACUAAGUUCCUCUUUGUAUAUUCCCAGUAAGUAUAUUUCAGGUCUCGUUGUAUAAUUGACUCCCAAUAUUUUUUUUCUGAAUCAAAGUAGAAUUUCGUGUACAGACAUUUGUAGAAAUACACAUUCACUUUUCUUCCUUUGAAAUCUAUCCCUUGAUUUGAAAUAGGUGUAAUAUUAUUGUCUUUCUAGGUUAUUUCAGGGAUUUGAUGUAAUUUCAAAUACCACGCCCACCAAAAAACAGCCAAGCGGGAGCUCUGGGGAAAGCAUGGCGUUUGAUAGUGUAUCGCCUUGCGAGUCACCAGAUUGGCCACAGAAGAACGUAUGUAGUUGCAGACAGUGGGUCAAGGCUGUUCUUCAUUUUUCCAGGAGAAAAAAAAACCCUACGUCUUUAGUAGUAUCGCUAGAAGCAGCAUUAUAACUAAGUAAUGCCCACUGCAAUUCUCAAAGACCAGGGGCAGCCCUACCAUUACGCAGAGUGAAAUAGCUAACUUGGAAGAAUGCAUGUUAUGAAAAUGUUAAUUAUUUGCUUUGUUGUCAAUGUAAUUUACAGCUCAGUUAGAGGUUGGAGGAAAAUGUGUGAAUAUUUUAUGCCCUGUGCACCAAAAUAACUUGCACCUUGGCAUGUAAAUGAGUGUGCAUGUCACUUGCUGUGCUGCCUCAGAGCAAAAAUCUCGUGAUAGUUCUGCUAAAAGCUAGUUCAAAAGGCCUUCCUACACAUAAUGUAAGAGAGAUAUUCUUGAUUGAUGAAAAAAAAAUAAGGAAGGCUUUCACAAUAUAAUUAUCACUUGCAGACACUUUUGUUUCUGCUACCAUCUUCUGGCCAGUUGCUCUAAAUGUGGGGGAAAAGAUUGCAACAGGUGCCUGUACUUUAUCAUAUACAGUAGAGUCUCACUUAUCCAAGCGUCGCUUAUCCAAGCCUCUGGAUAAUCCAAGCCAUUUUUAUAGUCAAUGUUUUCAAUAUAUCAUGAUAUUUUAGUGCUAAAUUUGUAAAUACAGUAAUUACAACAUAACAUUACUGCGUGUUGAAUUACUUUUUCGGUCAAAUUUGUUGUAUAACAUGAUGUUUUGGUGCUUAAUUUGUAAAAUCAAAACCUAAUUUGAUGUUUAAUAGGCUUUUCUUUAAUCCCUCCUUAUUAUCCAAGAUAUUCGCUUAUCCAAGCUUCUGCCAGCCCGUUUAACUUGGAUAAGUGAGACUCUACUGUAGUUAUUAUAACUUAUCCAAAACUUUUAAAUGCCUCUUCUUCAGGAAAAACCUUGAAUACAUCACCUUCUGUCAAUAGCCAAUAGCAGGCAAUAUCUCACUGUCAUAUGCCAGUAAAUGAGUGAUGUGAUCCUCUUAUUUUGUGUGCCAAUCCUUAGUUCUUGGAAUCCUCUUCCCCUUCUUCCUCCAAUCACUCCAUGAACACUUCUUCAUCCGAUGUGUCCUCUUUAGCUUUCUUGCCUCCUCCUCCACUGGACAAGCCUCCAACCAGGACAAGGCUCUAAGCAGUUAUGCAGAGAGCAUUGCUAAAACACAACUUGGACCCAAUUGCCGUGGAGGAGUAUGACCUUGUGCAUAUCAUCUCUUAGAAAAAAGAACUACUAAUUCCAUUUGAUGCCAACGUGUUUUAUGCCAGUUCCCCCCAAAGACCCCUGUAAAGGAUCAAUCAGGCAGGGGAGUUUUGAGAUCAUACCUCUGCCACCAACAAUAUAUAAAAGGAAUGUUUAUUUCUGCUGCCACCUUUCGUGUUCAGGAACCUUGCUUUAUUUAUUUUGAGGCUUAAAAAUAAGAGUGAGACUUUGCAUAAGAUGAAACAAUAACUUUGUCUCCUUUGACGUACAUAAGCGUGAUGGUUUCAAUAAUAUAUAGACAGUAUAGAUGCUUGGUGGUUAUAAUGAUAGUUAUUGAUUAUUCUCUUAUAAAGAUGUCACUUUAAAAAUAGUUUCCGUGCAAUUUUCUUUUAUGUAUUUCCUCAGCCUUUCCUUCACAAAAGGCUUUUGUAAUAUUACUCCCAAACUGACUUCUAGAACACCUAGUCCCAAACUGGACUCUGAAAUCCUGACUAAACUGCACUUUGUGUAGGCAUCGAAUUGUUGCCAUUGUUGUAAGCUGCCCUGAGUCCCUUUGGGUGAGAAGGGCGGGAUAUAAAUGCUGGAAAUAAAUAAAUAAACUCAACUGCCCUCUCCAAGCUCCUUGAUACCAGCUAACUGCAUUAGAUGCCCCAGCUAACUGAAAUGGAAUGUUCAGUUGGCCAUUUCUAACUGCCAUUCUUGACUCCGCCCAUCUCUUGUGACUCAGCACCUGCUCAUUUGCAUCUGGCCAAGCAGGCCACUCCUAUGCAAAUAGCUGCUAGUCAGCUCUUCCCCCGGCUCUGCUGCCCAAUGAGAGCCACAAAAUGUCUGCCUAACUUCCUGGUUUUUUACAAAAUGGCUGCUCACACACCAACAUCUUUGAGCCAGCAAUCUAUGCUCCUAUUACCUCUUCAAAUCCCAUCUUGUCUGGGUGCUUCUGUGGAACUGUGAUAUAUUCUGAACCUUCAAUUGGAGGAUGAUCAACUGGAAGAAACAGAGCCAUCAAGAUAUUAAAAAGAGA
Long non-coding RNA from Anolis carolinensis (green anole), 3792 nucleotides. RefSeq lists it as uncharacterized. The transcript is spliced from 3 exons. NCBI's taxonomy places the organism in Eukaryota, Metazoa, Chordata, Lepidosauria, Squamata, Anolidae. The record is from RefSeq and is a predicted model, not a curated record.